AGAAUCAACGCUGGCGGCGUGCCUCAGACAUGCAAGUCGAACGAUUAAAGCUCUCUUCGGAGAGUGUAUAGAGUGGCGCACGGGUGAGUAACACGUAAGUAAUCUACCCUCGAGUGGGGAAUAACGUCCGGAAACGGACGCUAAUACCGCAUAAUGCAGCGGCACCGCAAGGUGACAGUUGUUAAAGAUUUAUCGCUUGAGGAGGAGCUUGCGGCAGAUUAGCUAGUUGGUAAGGUAAUGGCUUACCAAGGCUACGAUCUGUAACCGGUCUAAGAGGACGGUCGGUCACGACUGACACUGAAUAACGGGUCAGACUCCUACGGGAGCAGCAGUCGGGAAUUUUGGGCAAGUGGACGAAGCCUGACCCAGCAACGCCGCGUGAAGGAUAGAAGUUAGUUUCGGUAAUAGUAAACGUUACGAAAAGUAAGUACGGAAAGUAAGUAC
RNAcentral lists this ribosomal RNA (444 nucleotides) under uncultured soil bacterium. RNAcentral's name for it is "bacterial SSU rRNA". It matches the Rfam family "Bacterial small subunit ribosomal RNA", at positions 26 to 468 of the family's 1533-position model. The record is from RNAcentral.